GGGGCUGAUUCUGGAUUCGACGGGAUUUGCGAAACCCAAGGUGCAUGCCGAGGGGCGGUUGGCCUCGUAAAAAGCCGCAAAAAAAUAGUCGCAAACGACGAAACCUACGCUUUAGCAGCUUAAUAACCUGCUUAGAGCCCUCUCUCCCUAGCCUCCGCUCUUAGGACGGGGAUCAAGAGAGGUCAAACCCAAAAGAGAUCGCGUGGAUGCCCUGCCUGGGGUUGAAGCGUUAAAACUAAUCAGGCUAGUCUGGUAGUGGCGUGUCCGUCCGCAGGUGCCAGGCGAAUGUAAAGACUGACUAAGCAUGUAGUACCGAGGAUGUAGGAAUUUCGGACGCGGGUUCAACUCCCGCCAGC
This 356-nucleotide transfer-messenger RNA is filed under the name Salmonella enterica subsp. enterica serovar Anatum str. CFSAN003962. RNAcentral's name for it is "partial transfer-messenger RNA". It matches the Rfam family "transfer-messenger RNA". Rfam says of the family: Bacterial tmRNA, also known as 10Sa RNA or SsrA, is named for its dual tRNA and mRNA-like properties. Its role is to liberate the mRNA from a stalled ribosome. To accomplish this part of the tmRNA is used as a reading frame that ends in a translation stop signal. Lineage: Bacteria; Pseudomonadati; Pseudomonadota; Gammaproteobacteria; Enterobacterales; Enterobacteriaceae. The record is from RNAcentral.